This 497-nucleotide ribosomal RNA is filed under the name uncultured bacterium. Its description in RNAcentral is "partial 16S ribosomal RNA". It matches the Rfam family "Bacterial small subunit ribosomal RNA", at positions 28 to 507 of the family's 1533-position model. The record is from RNAcentral.
GAUGAACGCUGGCGGCGUGCCUAAUACAUGCAAGUCGAGCGAACAGACGAGGAGCUUGCUCCUCUGACGUUAGCGGCGGACGGGUGAGUAACACGUGGAUAACCUACCUAUAAGACUGGGAUAACUUCGGGAAACCGGAGCUAAUACCGGAUAAUAUAUUGAACCUCAUGGUUCAAUAGUGAAAGACGGUUUUGCUGUCACUUAUAGAUGGAUCCGCGCCGCAUUAGCUAGUUGGUAAGGUAACGGCUUACCAAGGCAACGAUGCGUAGCCGACCUGAGAGGGUGAUCGACCACACUGGAACUGAGACACGGUCCAGACUCCUACGGGAGGCAGCAGUAGGGAAUCUUCCGCAAUGGGCGAAAGCCUGACGGAGCAACGCCGCGUGAGUGAUGAAGGUCUUCGGAUCGUAAAACUCUGUUAUUAGGGAAGAACAAAUGUGUAAGUAACUAUGCACGUCUUGACGGUACCUAAUCAGAAAGCCACGGCUAACUACGUG